Molecule: unclassified non-coding RNA, 242 nt
Filed under: Hevea brasiliensis (rubber tree)
Lineage: Eukaryota; Viridiplantae; Streptophyta; Magnoliopsida; Malpighiales; Euphorbiaceae
Source: RNAcentral
ACAUCCUUAUCCUUCUCAUGUUCCUCCUCCACCCCACCAGUUCCCUCCUCCUCCUCCUCACUUGCUUGCUCCUCCUUCCCAUUCUCAGAUUCCCCAAUCUUACGCUCAGGUUAAUCAGGAAUGGCGAAAUUCGAACUGGGGAAGCACCAAAGCUGGGACUACCAAGCUCACAACAAUGCGGAGGAAUGGGCUGCUAGAGCCAGAGCAUGGGCAGCACAAAAAGCUGCAAUGGAGGAUCACCA